GACGAACGCUUGCGACGUGCCUAAGAAAUGCAAGUCGAGCGAGGAGCAAUCCUAGCGGCGAACGGUCGCGUAACACGUAAGCCAACCUGCCCCAAAGACCGGGACAACGUUCCGAAAGGAGCGCUAAUUACCGGAUGUGACCUCACCUUGACAUCGGGGUGAGAUUAAAGCGCGCAAUCGGCUUUGGGAGGGGCUUGCGGCCUAUCAGCUAGGA
Molecule: ribosomal RNA, 214 nt
Filed under: uncultured bacterium
Lineage: Bacteria
Description: partial 16S ribosomal RNA
Rfam family: Bacterial small subunit ribosomal RNA
Source: RNAcentral